UAGGACUAUAUUCCUCCAUUCACUCCUGU
This 29-nucleotide small RNA is filed under the name Bombyx mori (domestic silkworm). Its description in RNAcentral is "ovarian small RNA-22652". Lineage: Eukaryota; Metazoa; Arthropoda; Insecta; Lepidoptera; Bombycidae. The record is from RNAcentral.